UACGGAGGGGGCUAGCGUUGUUCGGAAUUACUGGGCGUAAAGCGCGCGUAGGCGGCUUUGUAAGUUAGAGGUGAAAGCCCAGAGCUUAACUCUGGAAUUGCCUUUAAGACUGCAUCGCUUGAAUCAUCGAGAGGUGAGUGGAAUUCCGAGUGUAGAGGUGAAAUUCGUAGGUAUUCGGAAGAACACCAGUGGCGAAGGCGACUCACUGGACAUGUAUUGACGCUGAGGUGCGAAAGCGUGGGGAGCAAACAGG
This 253-nucleotide ribosomal RNA is filed under the name uncultured bacterium. RNAcentral describes it as "partial 16S ribosomal RNA". It matches the Rfam family "Bacterial small subunit ribosomal RNA", at positions 524 to 776 of the family's 1533-position model. The record is from RNAcentral.